CCUACGGGAGGCAGCAGUGGGGAAUAUUGGGCAAUGGAGGAAACUCUGACCCAGCGACGCCGCGUGCGGGAUGAAGGCCUUCGGGUUGUAAACCGCUUUCAGUAGGGAAGAAGCGAAAGUGACGGUACCUACAGAAGAAGCACCGGCUAACUAUGUGCCAGCAGCCGCGGUAAUACAUAGGGUGCAAGCGUUGUCCGGAAUUAUUGGGCGUAAAGAGCUCGUAGGUGGUUCGUCACGUCGGAUGUGAAAAUCUGGGGCUCAACCCCAGACCUGCAUUCGAUACGGGCGAUCUAGAGUGUGGUAGGGGAGACUGGAAUUCCUGGUGUAGCGGUGGAAUGCGCAGAUAUCAGGAGGAACACCAAUGGCGAAGGCAGGUCUCUGGGCCAUUACUGACACUGAGGAGCGAAAGCGUGGGGAGCGAACAGGAUUAGAUACCCUGGUAGUCCACGCCGUAAACGGUGGGCACUAGUUGUGGGAACCUUCCACGGUUUCUGCGACGCAGCUACGCAUAGUGCCCGCCGUCGGGAGGUACGAGUCGCGAGAGUAAACGUAACGUAAAGUAAGUAGUUAGNGUGAGAGUGCGAGGCGACGACGAGGGAGGAGG
Molecule: ribosomal RNA, 604 nt
Filed under: uncultured bacterium
Lineage: Bacteria
Description: bacterial SSU rRNA
Rfam family: Bacterial small subunit ribosomal RNA (bases 1-520)
Source: RNAcentral